AUGAACGCUGGCGGCGUGCCUAAUACAUGCAAGUCGAGCGAACGGACGAGAAGCUUGCUUCUCUGAUGUUAGCGGCGGACGGGUGAGUAACACGUGGAUAACCUACCUAUAAGACUGGGAUAACUUCGGGAAACCGUAGCUAAUACCGGAUAAUAUUUUGAACCGCAUGGUUCAAAAGUGAAAGACGGUCUUGCUGUCACUUAUAGAUGGAUCCGCGCUGCAUUAGCUAGUUGGUAAGGUAACGGCUUACCAAGGCAACGAUGCAUAGCCGACCUGAGAGGGUGAUCGGCCACACUGGAACUGGGACACGGUCCAGACUCCUACGGGAGGCAGCAGUAGGGAAUCUUCCGCAAUGGGCGAAAGCCUGACGGAGCAACGCCGCGUGAGUGAUGAAGGUCUUCGGAUCGUAAAACUCUGUUAUUAGGGAAGAACAUAUGUGUAAGUAACUGUGCACAUCUUGACGGUACCUAAUCAGAAAGCCACGGCUAACUACGUG
This 496-nucleotide ribosomal RNA is filed under the name uncultured bacterium. RNAcentral describes it as "partial 16S ribosomal RNA". It matches the Rfam family "Bacterial small subunit ribosomal RNA", at positions 29 to 507 of the family's 1533-position model. The record is from RNAcentral.